GCUUCCUGCUGGGAUGUCCCUUGCGGUGUUCGGCGGUGGCUUCUAAGGUGCAGCUUCUCUGUUAGGUCCUGACUGAACAGCACCCAUCCUGUAUCCAGUAAUCUCACUCCACCCUCCUCACGCGGCCUGGCGCCUUCGCUUUACCCUGCUGCUUUUUCACCAGGCUCUCUUCAGGUCAAACUGUGUGAGGGUGGAAGAGGUGGCUCUAUGGAGGCUCAAGCCUCUCCUGGGAAAGUGGUGAUUCUUCAUUUUCAUCUUAAACUAUGCCCUGCCUUCAGCAGGGAGGGGGAGAGGAAGUGGGGGGUGGGAACCAAUGCUACAGCGAAGGGGCCGACAGAGACAUGGGUCUCCAAAGGAGAGUAGAAAACACAUCGCUUAGCAUGGAUUCGAUCAACUGCUGGUACAGCACAUCUCUAAUCUUCAUUGUGUACCUCAAAGCAUUCCGUCAUGGCCUCUGACUGCUCUUCUGAGCCUGCUCUGAACUGCCAAGGAGGGUUUGCUGUGUAGCUCAAUUGGGUCUUGGACUUGAGAUCUUCUUGCCUCCAUUUCCAAGGCAUAGAAUUCCAGGCACAUCCACCAAGUUGAAUGAUUAUGCCUGUGGAAGUGUGGCUUCUCCAUGGUGUGAGUCUAUCCUGAGGAUGGGUUCUCUUCAAGCAAG
RNAcentral lists this long non-coding RNA (658 nucleotides) under Mus pahari (shrew mouse). RNAcentral's name for it is "lncRNA (MGP_PahariEiJ_G0003522.1)". Lineage: Eukaryota; Metazoa; Chordata; Mammalia; Rodentia; Muridae. The record is from RNAcentral.